This 424-nucleotide ribosomal RNA is filed under the name uncultured bacterium. RNAcentral describes it as "bacterial SSU rRNA". It matches the Rfam family "Bacterial small subunit ribosomal RNA", at positions 22 to 495 of the family's 1533-position model. The record is from RNAcentral.
GCUCAGAACGAACGCUGGCGGCAGGCUUAACACAUGCAAGUCGAGCGCCCCGCAAGGGGAGCGGCAGACGGGUGAGUAACGCGUGGGAACGUACCCUUUACUACGGAAUAACGCAGGGAAACUUGUGCUAAUACCGUAUGUGCCCUUCGGGGGAAAGAUUUAUCGGUAAGGGAUCGGCCCGCGUUGGAUUAGCUAGUUGGUGGGGUAAAGGCCUACCAAGGCGACGAUCCAUAGCUGGUCUGAGAGGAUGAUCAGCCACAUUGGGACUGAGACACGGCCCAAACUCCUACGGGAGGCAGCAGUGGGGAAUAUUGGACAAUGGCGCAAGCCUGAUCCAGCCAUGCCGCGUGAGUGAUGAAGGCCCUAGGGUUGUAAAGCUCUUUCACCGGAGAAGAUAAUGACGGUAUCCGGAGAAGAAGCCCCG